RNAcentral lists this unclassified non-coding RNA (295 nucleotides) under Hevea brasiliensis (rubber tree). Lineage: Eukaryota; Viridiplantae; Streptophyta; Magnoliopsida; Malpighiales; Euphorbiaceae. The record is from RNAcentral.
CAUAAAACGGGCUUUUUCGACCUCAGGAACCCGAAAAAGCCUAUUCGGCAGCCGCCAGAGCCCGCUUGGUAUGGGCUGACGAGUGCAUGAAAUCGGAGAUCCGGGGCACGAUUUCCGACCUGAAGCGGGAGCCGUUGAACACGCCGUAAUGACCGACGCCCUUCUGUACAUAAUGUACCCGCCGCGCGUCCGGAAUCGAACUGCACAGCCCGUGGCUGGCUUCAGUCUGACCCAAACCUGAGAUGUCGUCGUUCUCGCCCUCCACCGUCAUCAGCGCAACGCGCCGAAUCUUCGA